Molecule: long non-coding RNA, 4158 nt
Organism: Mustela putorius furo (domestic ferret)
Lineage: Eukaryota; Metazoa; Chordata; Mammalia; Carnivora; Mustelidae
Source: Ensembl
NNNNNNNNNNNNNNNNNNNNNNNNNNNNNNNNNNNNNNNNNNNNNNNNNNNNNNNNNNNNNCGCUCCUGCUCCUGCUGGUGCUGCUGCUGCUGCUGCUGCUGCUCCUGCUGGCCGAAGGCGAGGCCGCCCAAGACCCCUGACGCUCGGGAUGGGGCCUGGGGCGGGCGGGGCGCAGACCGGCGAGGGCGGCUACCCCAUCCCUUGCAGGACCGCGACUCGCCCGCCCUGUGGGAUGGGGGCAUCCCGCGGCCUCUCGCCCGGAAAAGCGAAGGUGGUAGGUUUCUCCACGGACCGUCGGGUUAGGCAGCAGGAUAUAAUCACUUGGCGAUUAUUUGUAAAGAAAAGAGAAAAUCAAAUUUUUCUUUUGUGGUACACUAUCAGCUCCCUGAAGAAAAGAUCAAAGGAAGUUGUAGAAGAGAACGCCAUUUAGAGCCAGAUCUGGAAGGAUGGAGAGGAGUUUCACCAGGAAGAGAAGAGAUGAUGGCACAGAAUGGACAGUCGCCAAGAGGCAUGAAAUUGCAUGGAUAGGCAGGGAAUGAUGAGUGCUAGUCCAGGGUGACUUUAGGAAACUCGGGGAAUCAGAGACAAGAUUGUGAAGAUAGUCCUGGGUUCAACUGUGAUAAGUCUUGUAGAGCAGGCUGAAGAAGUUGAUCAUGACUUUGUAGGCAGUGGGGAAGCAGCUAAGAGCUAUAAACAGAAAAAUGAUUUGUUUGAGUCUCUUUUUUAUAUCGUGUUGGUGCUCCAAGAGGUGAAAUUUGGAGGAGUGAUGGACCUAGCAAGAGCACUUACAGGACACAGAUUUGAGAGUUAAUAAGGUUCUUCUCUGGAGUAAUGCAUGGUGAGCAUUAGAGUGGACAUAUGUCAUAGACACUCAGAUGUUAGUAAUAUUUUUUACCCAAUAGAAGAAAGUUAAUCCAUCCAUCCAUCCAUUCAUUCAUUCAUUCAUUCAUUAUUCAUUCAUCAGUUAUUAAGUACCUAUUAUUUACCUAGUUCCUAGUAUGUUCAGGACCACAGAAGUUGUAACACACUGCCCCUGCUUUGUAAUGAAUUUACAGUCUACUCUGGAGCAAGAUAUACAUGCAGGAAAGGUAAAAUAACACAAUAUCGUGUAUUAUUAAGUAUCAAAGCAUCAUCAUAGCAAAUCAGGACAAUAACAAUUCCUGAGGGCCACAGAAAUCAGAAAUUGCUCAUGAGGAAAAAAAUUAAGAAGGGCUUUCCAGAAGAGAUAUUCCUUGAGCUGAGUUUAGGUGGCCAAGUAGGAGAAUUGCUAGAUAAAAUACAGAAAUAGCCACAUCUGCAGAAGCACUGAGACAUUAAGAACUUGAUACAUUCAGGCAAACAGAUGAGAACUGCAAAUUAGACACGCAGCUGAAGUGUAGGAAUAGUUUGUGGAAGGGGCAGAAAUUUGGCUAAAAAGAGGUAGACGGGGACCAGAAAAUAUAGAACUUUAUGUGAUAAUAUAAAGAAUUUUCAUUGCAAAAGUUAUUGGAGGAUUUUCAAGUUCAGGAUGAAUGUCAUGAUUGGGUUUGUACUUUAAGAAGGUCACACUACAAAGAGUAUAGAAUAACUCUGAAGGUUGCUGGCCGGAUGAUGGUGUCAUUUACUAUGGGAACAUGCAAAGAGCAGGUUGGGGAGAAGGAUUUUAAGUCCCAAUUUUUUGAUGUGAUGGGCUUGAAGUGUGUGUUAAUUUCCUAAGGGCUACUAUAACAAAUUUAGUCACUUCAAACACCAGAAAUUUAUUUUCUCAUAGUUCCGAAGGCUAGAAUUCAGAAAAUCAUUAGGGUUGGCUCCUUCUGGAAGCUUUGAGGGAGAAGCUGAUCUAUGCCUCACUCCCAGCUUCUGGUGACAAGUUGUGGCAUUUCUUGCCUUGUAGAAACAUUACUUCAGUCUCUGCCUCUGUCUUCCCAAUGCCUUCUCCUCUGCGUGUCUUUGUCCUGUUCUUCUCUUUUAAGGACACCAGUCAUGAGAUUUAGAGCCUAACCCAAAUCCAGGGUGAUCUCUCUUGAGAUCCUUAACUUAUUUAUAUAAGUUAAAAACCUGUUCUCAAAACCCUAUUUUGAAAAGCCUAUUUCCAAGUAAUAUCACACUCGCAGGUACUGGUGACUCGGACUUGGAUAUAUUUUGGUGGGGGGACACUAUUCAAUGAAGGAUAACUGUCUUCCUCAUCUGACUAGUACUCUAGCCUUGCUUUGCACUUCCAAAAGCAAAAGGAAAUGCAGAAUUAAAGACUGUGUUAUGUUGUAGAAAGAGCAAAAACUUUAGCCAGAAGAAACUGGGUUCAAUCCAGGCUCUAUAUUAGUUGAAAACUUAGGCUUUUAACCUCUGAGAGUCUUGAUUUCUUUAUUUUUAAAAUGGGGAUAAUAUGACCUAUUAUAAAACUGGCAGGGAAGUUAAAUACUCAUUCUCAGGUGUAUUGUAGACCCUACUAUUAAAAAAAAAAAAAAAAAAGCUUAAAGAUAACACAUUUAGAAAUGACCCACAUUAAAGAUGGGGUUAUGUGAGUAUAACGCGUGCUCAGACUACAGCAACAGACACGAAGAAUGGGGAGGUGACCUGUCAGAGAGACAGACGUCAGCAAUGAAGGCUCCCAAGAGAAGGUGACUUUUCAGAUAGUCAAAGGGGCUUUUGGCAUCAAGAAAAUCAAUUACCAGGUAUCUCACCACCUAAGUCAAAGAGAAGUUAGCAAAACAAAGGCAGGGCUUCUAGUCUUAAAAACUGGGGUAUCAGGCAGAUUUCUAAGAUGUUAUGAAGUUUCUGUGCUAUGCUAGGCGUUCCAGAUAAAAGGACAAGUAAGACAUGGACCUUCCAGAUAGAGCUCACCAUCUUUCAGGUGACACAGACAGGUAAACAAGAUAAAUUACAAUAAUGUGCUACAAAAGACAAGCGGAGUUCAAGGACAGACCAGCUAAAAACUGCCUGUGGGAGACUGGGAAAGCUUUAGAGUGUGUGUGACAUUUGGAUGGAUUCUAGGAGGAUGGCUAGAGCGUGCUUGCCAGAGAAAAAGAGGAGCUCUUUCCAAGCAGAGGAAAAAGAGGUAAAGUGUAGGAAGUAAGACCUAUGGUACCAGAAAUGGAGGAUCAGUCAGAAGCCCAGGACCAGAGCCAAAGUGUUAACAGACUUACUGCUGACUCCCAACGCUUUGUACUACAAUUUACAGUUAUCCUGGUUAAGAUGCAGGUUUGUCCUAGAGAUCCUAGCAGGACUGAGCACAGAGAUGGGAGUCAGUAAUCCUAGCAUUUGGGAACGAAGAUAAACAUAUUCAUGACCAGUAAGCUACUGACAUUAGCCAAAAUCAGAGAGAAGGGGAAAGUUUGUGAGGGAUUUCUUAUGCAACAGAUGAUCUAAUUUAUACUUCACAGCCAUGUUCUGAUGGAAAGCAGGCAGAGCCAUGAAAUAACAGUUCAGUCAUCAAAAAAAGCAAAAUUGAGCUGGUUCCUAGAAAAAGAACAUUUUUGCCAGCUGGUCUCUUUGCUCUUUCCUGCUGACUUAGGCGGCCCUGGGCCCCAAAGGUGCUUUCUAGAAGUGGUUUCAGCUCCCUGAGAAACAGCUCUUACACCUCGGUUGCUACCCACCCAUUGCGUUGAAAACAAAUAAAUAAGAUCAACGUUGGGUUCUAGUGUGCUGUGAGCAUCUAUUAGCUUGGGUUUCCCACAAUGUGUACCGACAACACCGUCUCCAAUAAUAAAUGGAAAAUCCAACCCCAAUACCACGGAAGAAAGCAUCAGACUUCACAGGCUCUCCAAAGUUAAGCAGCAUCCCUAAAGCGGCUUCACGUCCUCCUCGAGUCCUCUCACUUGCCAAGAUUUUAGCUGGCUAAUCGGCAACGUGCUAACUUCCGUGCACCAGGACACCACCCCCGUCCCCGUGUGUUCUCCAAUACGCCUCUUCCCGCCCUGGCCACGGAGACCCCGGCCCAUAAGGCAAGGAGGACGCGACAGCUCGGGACCGCGCCAGCCCUCGGUGAGGGGAACCGACGGCGAAGGAAGGGGCGGCGUCGUCGUCUGAAGCGCCCCUUCGGGAGAAUGGAGGCGGGGGCGGCGGACCUCGCCCGCGGGCAGCCGGAGGACUCGGAGACUUCCCCGCGCCGGAGGGGCAGGGGUGCGGCGAGCGGAGCCCCCNNNNNNNNNNNNNNNNNNNNNNNNNNNNNNNNNNNNNNN